ACGGAAGGCAGCAGUAGGGAAUAUUGCACAAUGGGGGGAACCCUGAUGCAGCAACGCCACGUGUGGGAAGAAGCAUUUCGGUGUGUAAACCACUGUCGUGAGGGAAUAAUGCUUGGCUCCGGCCAAGUUGAAUGUACCUCGAAAGGAAGCACCGGCAAACUUCGUGCCAGCAGCCGCGGCAAUACGAGAGGUGCAAGCGUUGUUCGGAAUCACUGGGCGUAAAGGGAGCGUAGGCGGAGACGCAAGCAGUCUGUACAAUACCGGGGCCCAACCCCGGACCUGCAGACUGGACUGUGUCUCUUGGAUAGUUCAGGGGCUGGCGGAAUUCCUGGUGUAGCGGUGGAACGCGUAGAGAUCAGGAAGAACACCGAUGGCGAAGGCAGCCAGCUGGGGACUUAUCGACGCUGAGGCUCGAAAGUGCGGGUAGCAAACAGGAUUAGAUACCCUGGUA
Molecule: ribosomal RNA, 451 nt
Filed under: uncultured Fibrobacter sp.
Lineage: Bacteria; Pseudomonadati; Fibrobacterota; Fibrobacteria; Fibrobacterales; Fibrobacteraceae
Description: partial 16S ribosomal RNA
Rfam family: Bacterial small subunit ribosomal RNA
Source: RNAcentral